GAUGAACGCUGGCGGCGUGCCUAAUACAUGCAAGUCGAGCGAACGGACGAGAAGCUUGCUUUUCUGAUGUUAGCGGCGGACGGGUGAGUAACACGUGGAUAACCUACCUAUAAGACUGGGAUAACUUCGGGAAACCGGAGCUAAUACCAGAUAAUAUUUUGAACCGCAUGGUUCAAAAGUGAAAGACGGUCUUGCUGUCACUUAUAGAUGGAUCCGCGCUGCAUUAGCUAGUUGGUAAGGUAACGGCUUACCAAGGCAACGAUGCAUAGCCGACCUGAGAGGGUGAUCGGCCACACUGGAACUGAGACACGGUCCAGACUCCUACGGGAGGCAGCAGUAGGGAAUCUUCCGCAAUGGGCGAAAGCCUGACGGAGCAACGCCGCGUGAGUGAUGAAGGUCUUCGGAUCGUAAAACUCUGUUAUUAGGGAAGAACAUAUGUGUAGGUAACUGUGCACAUCUUGACGGUACCUAAUCAGAAAGCCACGGCUGACUACGUGCCAGCAGCCGCGGUAAUACGUAGGUGGCAAGCGUUAUCCGGAAUUAUUGGGCGUAAAGCGCGCGUAGGCGGUUUUUUAAGUCUGAUGUGAAAGCCCACGGCUCAACCGUGGAGGGUCAUUGGAAACUGGAAAACUUGAGUGCAGAAGAGGAAAGUGGAAUUCCAUGUGUAGCGGUGAAAUGCGCAGAGAUGUGGAGGAACACCAGUGGCGAAGGCGACUUUCUGGUCUGUAACUGACGCUGAUGUGCGAAAGCGUGGGGAUCAAACAGGAUUAGAUACCCUGGUAGUCCACGCCGUAAACGAUGAGUGCUAAGUGUUAGGGGGUUUCCGCCCCUUAGUGCUGCAGCUAACGCAUUAAGCACUCCGCCUGGGGAGUACGACCGCAAGGUUGAAACUCAAAGGAAUUGACGGGGGCCCGCACAAGCGGUGGAGCAUGUGGUUUAAUUCGAAGCAACGCGAAGAACCUUACCAAAUCUUGACAUCCUUUGACAACUCUAGAGAUAGAGCCUUCCCCUUCGGGGGACAAAGUGACAGGUGGUGCAUGGUUGUCGUCAGCUCGUGUCGUGAGAUGUUGGGUUAAGUCCCGCAACGAGCGCAACCCUUAAGCUUAGUUGCCAUCAUUAAGUUGGGCACUCUAAGUUGACUGCCGGUGACAAACCGGAGGAAGGUGGGGAUGACGUCAAAUCAUCAUGCCCCUUAUGAUUUGGGCUACACACGUGCUACAAUGGACAAUACAAAGGGCAGCGAAACCGCGAGGUCAAGCAAAUCCCAUAAAGUUGUUCUCAGUUCGGAUUGUAGUCUGCAACUCGACUACAUGAAGCUGGAAUCGCUAGUAAUCGUAGAUCAGCAUGCUACGGUGAAUACGUUCCCGGGUCU
RNAcentral lists this ribosomal RNA (1372 nucleotides) under uncultured bacterium. RNAcentral's name for it is "bacterial SSU rRNA". It matches the Rfam family "Bacterial small subunit ribosomal RNA", at positions 28 to 1381 of the family's 1533-position model. The record is from RNAcentral.